Ictalurus punctatus (channel catfish) is the source of this 1896-nucleotide long non-coding RNA. The record is from Ensembl. Lineage: Eukaryota; Metazoa; Chordata; Actinopteri; Siluriformes; Ictaluridae.
GAGCAGCCCAUGGUGGAGGGCAAACUGAAAGGAAAAAAAACAGACCUGUAAUAUCUGACCAGACUGGAGGGAAACAGGGAUCUUACGAGAGCCAGUUACUCAGAGACGGAGUGGCAGAGUAAAUAAAGACAUUCUGGAAUUCAGUCAAGUGAGGGCGUGUGAGCAGAGCUUACUAUUUAGCUUUACUCUGGAACAGAGAACAAAAUAUCUCUCCAUGCAGGACAGUGCUUCAUGCCACACAGCCAGGUCAAUCAAGGUGUGGAUGGAGGAGCACCAGAUCAAGACCCUGUUAUGGCCAGCUCAAUCUCCAGACCUAAAGCCCACUGAAAAUCUCUGGAAUGUGAUCAAGAGGUAGAUGGAUGGUCACAAGCCAUCAAACAAAGCCGAGCUGCUUAAUUUUUUUUGCGCCAUUUAAAGCUGUGAUUGAAAAUGAAUUGAAAUAUAUGAUUGAAUUCUGCACCAACAGCCUUGUGCUGGUCCAGGCUGCUGGAGGUGGUGUAAUGAUGUGGGGAAUGGUUUAUUGGCACACGUUUGGCACGUUAAUACCAAUCAACCUUUGCAUGAAUGCCACUAUUUGAGUAUUGUUGGUGACCAUGUGCAUUCCUUCAAGGCCACAAUUUACCAUCUUCUAAUGGCUACUUCCAGCAUGAUAAUGCACCAUGUCACAAAGCAAACGUCGUCUCAAACUGGUUUCAUGGACAUGACAAUGAGUUCAGUGUUCUUCAGUGGUCUUCCCCAUCACUGGAACUGAAUCCAAUAGAACACCUUGUUCACACAUGGAAGUGCACUGAAAAAACAGAAAUUGCUAGAUGCAACCAUGUCAACAUCCAGAAUCUCAAAGGAAUGUUUCCAACAUCUUGUGGAAUCCAUGCCACAAUGAAUUGAGGCUGUUCUGAGAGCAACGGGAGGUCCUACCCAGCUGUAUAUGUUCCUAAUAAAUUGUUCAGUGAGUGUAUAUAUGUAUAGCAUAUAUUAUAUGUAUCAAUUGUGUGCAUUAAAAUGCUGCUAUAUAACAUGCUUUGGAUGCACUCUUCCAUAAACCAACUUUUAUACUGUUAGACCAACAUAAACAACAAUUAUUUUAUAUCCAUAACAGUUCACACAAGCCAAUUCCUUUGAAAGCCUAUAGUUUGUUCAGUUUAAUUUUAUGUUUUACAUUUUAAGGUGUUAUAGUGCUUAAACAGUAUCUUUAAUAGAGAGCUUGAGGGAUUGCAGAGCAGUAUAGUCCUGUAAUUUGCACCUUAUUUUGCGAGCAAAGAAAGUGUGCAUGUCUCAGUGCUUGCAGAAUUGAAGUGCUCUCACAUGCAACAGUUUCUCUUUUCCCUAUUUCACUGCUCCAUGCUUGUGAAAAUCUUUGUAUAAGCACAAUUUAUGCACCUUGCUCUUAUUUUUAAUGACCUCUCUCACUGAUAUUUCUCUGUGGUUCAACUCGGUCACCCUCAUACUCUCUAUUUAAGAUUCUGUUUAAAUGGUACAAGAUGAUUUAUCAGGUUACUUGUAAUGCAGGAAGAUGGUAUCGUUCCUUCUCUUGAUAUUUUAGCUGAAAACAGUUUGCAGUCUGCUUUGGGUUGAUCAAUAAUAAGCAUACACUAUGUUUACAUCACAUAAUAUCGUGUGGUAUAGAAUGUUGGUAUUGGAGCAUUUUUAGGCGUACAAGUAAAUGUUAUCGGACUGUUACCAAAUGCCAGUAUUGAUAUCAAUUCAUCCUUAAGUAUUGCUUAUAACAAUGUAUGAUAUGAUCUCAAUAAAAUCUAGUCUGAAUUCUACAGACUGAGCGAUAACAUGCUUUCCUUACCAACCAGCAGAAUCCAGGCUUGCAUUAAAUGGGGUCACAUAAAUGGAAACGUUCUUUAAAGGGAGCUUGAAAUAAUAUUUGCACAUGAAAUGUGAGUUUUG